UUUGCUGACGAGCGGCGGACGGGUGAGUAAUGCUUGGGAACAUGCCUUGAGGUGGGGGACAACAGUUGGAAACGACUGCUAAUACCGCAUAAUGUCUACGGACCAAAGGGGGCUUCGGCUCUCGCCUUUAGAUUGGCCCAAGUGGGAUUAGCUAGUUGGUGAGGUAAUGGCUCACCAAGGCGACGAUCCCUAGCUGGUUUGAGAGGAUGAUCAGCCACACUGGGACUGAGACACGGCCCAGACUCCUACGGGAGGCAGCAGUGGGGAAUAUUGCACAAUGGGCGCAAGCCUGAUGCAGCCAUGCCGCGUGUGUGAAGAAGGCCUUCGGGUUGUAAAGCACUUUCAGUCAGGAGGAAAGGUUAGUAGUUAAUACCUGCUAGCUGUGACGUUACUGACAGAAGAAGCACCGGCUAACUCCGUGCCAGCAGCCGCGGUAAUACGGAGGGUGCGAGCGUUAAUCGGAAUUACUGGGCGUAAAGC
RNAcentral lists this ribosomal RNA (480 nucleotides) under Alteromonadales bacterium HD-I-03-9. Its description in RNAcentral is "bacterial SSU rRNA". It matches the Rfam family "Bacterial small subunit ribosomal RNA", at positions 84 to 566 of the family's 1533-position model. Lineage: Bacteria; Pseudomonadati; Pseudomonadota; Gammaproteobacteria; Alteromonadales. The record is from RNAcentral.